Molecule: long non-coding RNA, 5497 nt
Filed under: Homo sapiens (human)
Lineage: Eukaryota; Metazoa; Chordata; Mammalia; Primates; Hominidae
Description: HSALNT0351421
Source: RNAcentral
AAACUAAAUUUCAACAAAAGGAUAAAUUAAUCAAUUAUUGUACAUUAAUUCAAUGAGUCAUACAGUUAUAAAAUGAUAAUUAUAAAGAUGUUACAGACACAUAGAAAAUAGUUUUUAUAAAUUUUAGAAGAAAAAAGUGAGCAGCUUAUUGAAAAUGUUAUAUGAUUUCAAUUGUGUUAAAUAUAUAUGCUGCUGAAAGAAGAAGGGAUAGAAUGAAACUGUUUUAUAAAAAUCAUUUUAGUGUCGUAGAAUUGUGGCUUUUUAAUUUUUAAAAAUUAUCUUUAAUUUUAUGGUAUUUAAAAUAAAGAGAAUGGAAAUAAAAUGCAGGGCUUUUUAAAAAAACAUCUUGACAGCUUAAGUAUAAAGACUUGAAAGAAAAAAAUCAGUUCUCCUUCAAAAACAGCUUAUAAUUCAUAUAUUCAAUAUUUCUUAAAUAUUGAAAUAUUUCUAGCACCUACUAUAUCCUCUGAGCAUUUCUGUUUCUUUUACCAUAUGUGUCUUGCUACAACACACAAAUUUAUUAUUAUACAAUUAUGUAUGUCAGAAGUCCAGUAUAAGUCUCACUGGGCUAAGGCUUUGUUGCCAAGGCUUUGUUCCUUUCUAGAGGUUCCAGAUAAGAAUACAUUUCCUUACAUUUUUCAUCUUCCAGAAGCUGCCCACUUUCAUUAGCAUGUGGUCCCCUUUCUCCAUCUUCAGAGUCAGCAUCAUUCCAUUUCUUUGACUCCUCUUUCCAUGGUCUCAUCUCUCCCUGACUACAGCUAGGACAGGUUCUCCACUUUUAAGGACCUAUAUAAUUAGAUUUGGCCCACCAAGGUGAUCCAUAAUGAUCUCCCAUCUCAAAGUCCAUAACCUUAAUCAUAUCUGUGAAGUCCCAUUUGCCAGCUAGGGUAAUGAAGGAAAUGAAAAUAUUUUAUCCAAAAAUAUAUUUGUUUGCCAUAUUUUGAGAUGGCUGUCCCAGAGCCAGCAGACUGAAGUGGCCCUUCAAAACUGUCUUUUGUAGGGAAAAUUUGCAACCAUAGAGAAUCUCCAUUAAUUCAACUAGGCCUUACCUUGUCCUGAUCUAGGGAAGAUUAACUAAGAGUCUGGCACCUUUAAAGAUUCCAAAAGAAACAGAAAUAUUUACCAUCUGUCCCUUCUGAAGGCUGCUACCUAUGAGGUUUGAUCUACAUAACAAGACAACCUUUGCUAGCCAAGCGUCCUCUUCUCUCCCUUCAUAACCUGUCUUGCCACUAAAACCUGACUUACCAACAUAAUCUAUUUUUGGCAAUGCUCUGAGCCCUCAUUCUUUCUGUAAUCUCAAGAUGGUAGAUAAGCUUCUUUUUUUUUUUUUUUCACCCCUACUGGGGGAUUAGGUGUUUAUUCCGAAAGCUCCUAUGUAUACAUGUGAAAUAAAUUUGUAUGCCUUUUUUUCCUAUUAAUCAAUCUGCCUCAUAUCAAUCAUUUUCAACAGAGCUUCAGGGGACCAAGGACCUUGGCCUCUACAGUUACCUGUGUAUAGGCUUUGAGAAUUAGGACCCAGACGUCUUUGGGGGAGAAGGCAUGAUUCUGCCUUCAUAUUCACUGUUGUGAUUCAUUCAUACAUGUCUAAUGAAGUACCUAAUUUUUAAAAAUAAUCUUAAAACUUGGUUUCUUGUGCUAUUUAUUUUUAUAAAAGAAUAUUUUUUCCAAACACUGACAAAGUAUCUGCUAGUUAUAAAGAACGUAGUUAUGAAUUUUUAAAACUAAUUCAUGAAUCUCUCUCCCUUUUUUCCCUCCUUCAUGAGUAUUUAGCCUAAAAGAUAUUAGGUUGAGUAUAUGCUAGAUAGAAACACGUGCUGGAAGGGAGAUAGGUACAGUGGCCUUGUGCAAUGAGACACAGGAGAUAUUUAUAUGUGGGUGGUGGGUAAAGGAAGAGAAUGGACUGGUGGUACAGCCACUAUAAUGGGAUGCUAGAUUGAGGGUGGGGUGAGGAAGUGAGGGGUAAAAGGUGUAAGAAACCUGAGAGGAGGAGGAGCACAUUCUUUUGGCAAAGCUCUGAGUAGUCAUACUCAAGAGUGUGAGAGGGACAGCUAUGUAAGGGGUAUAUAACAGUGUAAGCAGCUUGGUGAGAUAUCAGAAACCCAAGUAGGUAAAGAGGCUGUCUGCAUGUGGGAUGGUUGUGGUCCCACCGUAAUUUGUUACAGCCCAAGCAUAGCACAGAUGGCUUCCACAUGGAGAUAGGGCACAGCAAUGAUAUCCAUGACUUGGCACAGAGCGUCAAAGCCCAAGGAGGGUAAGAACACAUUCUUUGUAGGUAGGAGCACCAUAUUGCAGGGGCUCAGAGACUGGACAUGGUGAGGAAUGCAUUCACAAUCCACACAGUCUGCCACAGACACUAUGUCCUGAGAUAAUUAAGAAUAUUUCUACUUCAGACCUGGAGGAGGAUUUUGUAGCAGGGGGUUGACAAUGAACAACAGUGAAAUGCUGAAGUCUGGGUGAGGUGGAAAGAGCAUUCACAUGGUGAAGUGGAGGGGAAGAAAUGUUGGUUAUGUAAAGGUAGGAUUUAUCAAAUAAAUAAAAAUAUUGGGAAUAAUAGGAGCAAGAUUUCUCAGGUUGAAAAAGGAAGUUAUAGAAAAAGGAAGUUAUAGAAAAUGCAGAAAAAUUAGGAUAAAACUUCUAGCACUAGUAUUGGAUUGGAAUUGGAGAUAUUUGUGUGAACUUAAAGUUUUAAUGCAUAUAGAUGGAUACAGAAAGAAUAUAGGUGUGUAUGUAUUGCAGGUGUAUGCAUGCUUACCUCCUCAAGCUCUGCUCACUGAGAGGGCUUUGAGACAUCAACACCCAUGUAAUAAUGAGCAUGUCUAGCCUCAGAUUUUGUUUUCUGAAGGUCAUUUUUCACUAAAAUAAAACAUAGCUCCUUGGAUCAAUGGCUAAUUUCAGGACUAAGGGAAAAAAAUGUAAAAUGAGCCAUUAACAUCAUGUGGUACAUGAAAAUAAGGAAGUGCUCAAAUAAUCAUAAGGAUAUAUCAAAAGGACAACAACAAAAGAGCUAGCUUGAAUGAGCUCUCACUAGUCAGAUAGGGAAAAAUUUGUGUAUCUAAAUAAAUAAUGAUAUCAACAGAUUUUAACCUAUGAAAUAAUAUUGGAAUGCAUUUGUGAUAAAAAUACACAUAUACAUAUGCAGAGGGAAAAUCUUGUUAAUUAAUAAAAUAAAAGGAAUAAUAGAUUUGAUGAAAAUCGCCUAUUGGCAUCUAUCAUCCCAAUAUUUAAUUCAUGCAGAAAACAUUAGUGGGUGGUAAAAGUUUGAUGAGAAACAGAGUAUUUAUAUAGUCUCAAAGUAUCGUCCUUCAAUACACUUAUUAAGUUGGGGAAAAAAGUAACUUCACCAUAGUGAAAACUAGAAGACACCACCUUAAUCAAAUGUUCAAAAUUAACAUCAUCAAAAUGGGACAAAUCAAAUCAUUACCACCUGAUAAGAUGCAAUCACAAACAUUACCUCUGUGAUAUUCCUGCCAAAACCAUUUAAUCAGAGGAAGCAUCAGAGAAACACAAAUUGAAAGGCAUUCUCUAAAUAACUGGCUUAAAAUCUUCAAAAGUGUCAAGGUCAUGAGAGAAAAGAAGACAGAAGAAGGAGGUUGAAGAAGAUUAAAAAUACAGGGCAUCUAAAUGCAGUAUAUGAUCUUAAACCAGGGCUGGCUUUAUGGGCAUGUAGUUUGUGUAGUGGCACAGGGCCCUGUACUUGGAAGAGCCUAUGUUUGAUUUAAUGUUCUGCUGUUGUCCUCUCAAUUCUUAACAAUAUUUCAAAAGGCUCACAUUCAUUCUGAAGUGAGCCCCAGGUCCCCACUGAGUAGCCAGUCCUGUUCAGAUUGAAUCCUUUUUCUAAAAAAGGACAUUAUGGGGACUAUUGACACAAUUUGGAUUGGGACUACAGUUUAAAUGAUAAUAAUGAAAUGUUAUGUCCUGAUUUUGGUAAUUAUAUUGAAUUACAUCAAGGAAUGUCUUUGUAGGAAACACACACUAAAAUAUUUGGGUGUUAGGCAAAAUGUGACUGAGUAACUUUCAAAUGAUUUAGGGGAAAUACUUUCUGCACUAUAAUUACAACCUUUCUGUAAGUUUGAAAUUGUUUUAGAAUAAAAAGAAAAAAAGCAAUUCAUCAUAUCCUCUGUAAAAUCAAGAAUUGGUGAAUUCAAACAACAUGUAUGGAGGGAUUUGAAGGGCAUUAUACUGAGUGAAAUAAAUAAAGUCUAAAGGUUACUUACUAUACAUAGCAUUUAUAAAACAUUCUCAAAGUGAUAAUAUCAGGUCAUUGGCUGCUGAGGGUUAGAGUUCAAAGAGGGUGUGAUUAUUAAGGGAUAAUACAGGACAUUUCUUUGUGGUGAUGAAACAAUUCUAGAUGAUCCAGAAUUUUAAUGUAGGAAGGGCUUAGGGCAAAAAAUAUGGUAAGAAAAUUUACAGGAAGAGAGUAAGAAUGAGGGUUAUCUUAAAGCUGUAUUCGUAUGGGGAGCCCACUGAUAUGACCCAAGCUAUUUUGGUUAUUGGGCCACCAAAACCAAAUAGGACUGUGGGACUUUAUCAAAAGGUAGACAAAAUGGGAGGAGGCUUAAGCCCCUGAAGGCAUUUUAUAAGAUCCUCAUUAAUCUAAGAAUUUUUUCAUAAACUACAUUUGAGGCCUGGUAGCUCAUGCCUAUAAUCCUAGCUCUUUGGUAGGCCAAGGUGGGAGAAUCACUUGAGCUCAGGAGAUCAAGACCAGUCUGGGCAACAUAGCAAGAUCCUUGUCUACACAUAUACACACAAAAAUAAUUAGUGUGGUAGUGCACUGGACAGUCAAUUUAUCAAGACAGGGAAAUAGAGAAAGAGUAAUUAACAUAGAACCUCUGUGCAGGUGACCAGGAUUCUAUUGUUACUCAAAUCAGUCUCCCUGAAAACUUGGGGAUCAGGGUUUUUAAGGACAAUUUGGUGGGUAGGGGCCAGUGAGUCGGGAGUGCUGAUUGGUUGGGUCGGAGAUGAAAUCAUAGGGAGUUGAGGCUGACCUCUUGUGCUGUCAUUUCCUGAGUGAGGGCAACAAGACCAGAGGAGCCACUUUAUCGAUCUGGGUGGUGCCAACUGAUCCAUCAAGUGCCAGCCUACACAUUAGCAUAAUGUGGAUUUUCCAAGCUACUUUUAUACAUGAAAUAAUAUAAGCUGUAAUGAGUGAAAGUAAGCACGGAUUUUUCAGCAGUACUUUCCAGAAAUUUUGAUGGAAGAUCAGCUUUUUGUAGCUGGAGAAGUUGGAUUAAAAAAUGACCACAGAGAAAUUGAAAGAUGUCCAGUAGAAGGUCUGUAGACUUCAUUCCAAUUCAGCAUAUCCAUGAGGUCACCAAGAAAUUAAGUCACCAAGAAGUUAAUUUCCUCAAGAAAGGACCCUUGAAGAAAGUUGCUAUUAUUAAGUCGAUUAGGGUGUAGUGGCAGGAAAAAAAGUAAGGACUGAUUUCUAAGAAACAUAAAAAUGAAAACAUUAAAGAAAAACCCUAAAUUUCAUUGAAGAAUAAAUUGUGGGACUGAG